AUAUUUUUGUUAUAAUUUUUUUUUUCUUUAGAAUAAGAGAUAUAUAUACGAUGGCUGAAUAUAGAUGACGUGGUUUGUUAUAUAGUAGACUUUUCUCUAAAUUUUAGCAAUCUUAUGAACAGAUGUUUAAAACCUCAUUUAGUAACGUGUUUUUUUUAUAUAUUUUAAAUAAUUUUUUGUAUUAAAUAGUACUGUAGGAUUGAACGGUAGAUUCUCUGUGUUUGAGCUAUUGUAAAUUGUAUGUAAAAGCUAAUUUUA
This 258-nucleotide long non-coding RNA is filed under the name Ananas comosus (pineapple). Its description in RNAcentral is "long non-coding RNA (ACOM_LNC040258)". The record is from RNAcentral. Lineage: Eukaryota; Viridiplantae; Streptophyta; Magnoliopsida; Poales; Bromeliaceae.